This 463-nucleotide ribosomal RNA is filed under the name uncultured bacterium. Its description in RNAcentral is "bacterial SSU rRNA". It matches the Rfam family "Bacterial small subunit ribosomal RNA", at positions 331 to 792 of the family's 1533-position model. The record is from RNAcentral.
CCAGACUCCUACGGGAGGCAGCAGUGAGGAAUAUUGGUCAAUGGGCGCGAGCCUGAACCAGCCAAGUCGCGUGAGGGAAGACGGUCCUAUGGAUUGUAAACCUCUUUUGUCGGGGAGCAAAAGGCGCCACGCGUGGCGUUCCGAGAGUACCCGAAGAAAAAGCAUCGGCUAACUCCGUGCCAGCAGCCGCGGUAAUACGGAGGAUGCGAGCGUUAUCCGGAUUUAUUGGGUUUAAAGGGUGCGCAGGCGGAAUGUCAAGUCAGCGGUAAAAUUUCGGGGCUCAACCCCGUCGUGCCGUUGAAACUGGCGUUCUUGAGUGAGCGAGGAGUAUGCGGAAUGCGUGGUGUAGCGGUGAAAUGCAUAGAUAUCACGCAGAGCUCCGAUUGCGAAGGCAGCAUACCGGCGCUCAACUGACGCUCAUGCACGAAAGCGUGGGUAUCGAACAGGAUUAGAUACCGCGUAU